GAUGAACGCUGGCGGCGUGCCUAAUACAUGCAAGUCGAGCGAACAGACGAGGAGCUUGCUCCUCUGACGUUAGCGGCGGACGGGUGAGUAACACGUGGAUAACCUACCUAUAAGACUGGGAUAACUUCGGGAAACCGGAGCUAAUACCGGAUAAUAUAUUGAACCGCAUGGUUCAAUAGUGAAAGACGGUUUUGCUGUCACUUAUAGAUGGAUCCGCGCCGCAUUAGCUAGUUGGUAAGGUAACGGCCUACCAAGGCAACGAUGCGUAGCCGACCUGAGAGGGUGAUCAGCCACACUGGAACUGAGACACGGUCCAGACUCCCACGGGAGGCAGCAGUAGGGAAUCUUGCGCAAUGGGCGAAAGCCUGACGGAGCAACGCCGCGUGGGUGAAGAAGGUCUUCGGGUUGUAAAACCCUGUUAUUAGGGAAGAAAAAAUGUGGAAGUAAACAUGCCCGUCUUGACGGUACCCAAUCAAAAAGCCACGGCUAACUUCGUG
This 497-nucleotide ribosomal RNA is filed under the name uncultured bacterium. Its description in RNAcentral is "partial 16S ribosomal RNA". It matches the Rfam family "Bacterial small subunit ribosomal RNA", at positions 28 to 507 of the family's 1533-position model. The record is from RNAcentral.